GAUGAACGCUGGCGGCGUGCCUAAUACAUGCAAGUCGAGCGAACAGACGAGGAGCUUGCUCCUCUGACGUUAGCGGCGGACGGGUGAGUAACACGUGGAUAACCUACCUAUAAGACUGGGAUAACUUCGGGAAACCGGAGCUAAUACCGGAUAAUAUAUUGAACCGCAGGGUUCAAUAGUGAAAGACGGUUUUGCUGUCACUUAUAGAUGGAUCCGCGCCGCAUUAGCUAGUUGGUAAGGUAACGGCUUACCAAGGCAACGAUGCGUAGCCGACCUGAGAGGGUGAUCGGCCACACUGGAACUGAGACACGGUCCAGACUCCUACGGGAGGCAGCAGUAGGGAAUCUUCCGCAAUGGGCGGAAGCCUGACGGAGCGACGCCGCGUGAGUGAUGAAGGUCUUCGGAUCGUAAAACUCUGUUAUUAGGGAAGAACAAAUGUGUAAGUAACUGUGCACGUCUUGACGGUACCUAAUCAGAAAGCCACGGCUAACUACGUG
This 497-nucleotide ribosomal RNA is filed under the name uncultured bacterium. RNAcentral describes it as "partial 16S ribosomal RNA". It matches the Rfam family "Bacterial small subunit ribosomal RNA", at positions 28 to 507 of the family's 1533-position model. The record is from RNAcentral.